RNAcentral lists this small RNA (125 nucleotides) under Marmota monax (woodchuck). Lineage: Eukaryota; Metazoa; Chordata; Mammalia; Rodentia; Sciuridae. The record is from RNAcentral.
GUCAGGUGCAGUGGCGCAUGCCUGUAAUCCCAGUGACUAGGAGGCCGAGGCAGGAGGAUCGAGAGUUCAAAGCCAGCAUCAGCACUUAGUGAGGUGCUAAGCAACUCAGUGAGACCCUGUCUCUA